CUACAACUUGAGUUGUACUGUGUGAAUCAACAUACAACACGCCUACAACAACGUAGGGGAGUUGUGUUCUUGAUUUACACAGUGCAACUCAAGUUGUGG
Molecule: non-coding RNA, 99 nt
Organism: Paramuricea clavata
Lineage: Eukaryota; Metazoa; Cnidaria; Anthozoa; Malacalcyonacea; Plexauridae
Source: the annotation of a GenBank genome assembly